Molecule: ribosomal RNA, 497 nt
Filed under: uncultured bacterium
Lineage: Bacteria
Description: partial 16S ribosomal RNA
Rfam family: Bacterial small subunit ribosomal RNA
Source: RNAcentral
GAUGAACGCUGGCGGCGUGCCUAAUACAUGCAAGUCGAGCGAACAGACGAGGAGCUUGCUCCUCUGACGUUAGCGGCGGACGGGUGAGUAACACGUGGAUAACCUACCUAUAAGACUGGGAUAAUUUCGGGAAACCGGAGCUAAUACCGGAUAAUAUAUUGAACCGCAUGGUUCAAUAGUGAAAGACGGUUUUGCUGUCACUUAUAGCUGGAUCCGCGCCGCAUUAGUUAGUUGGUAAGGUAACGGCUUACCAAGGCGACGAUGGGUAGCCGACCUGAGGGGGUGAUCGGCCACACUGGAACUGAGACACGGUCCAGACUCCUGCGGGAGGCAGCAGUAGGGAAUCUUCCGCAAUGGACGAAAGCCUGACGGAGCAACGCCGCGUGAGGGAUGAAGGUCUUCGGAUCGUAAAACUCUGUUAUUAGGGAAGAACAAAUGUGUAAGUAACUAUGCACGUCUUGACGGUACCUAAUCAGAAAGCCACGGCUAACUACGUG